AGCGAACGCUGGCGGCAGGCUUAACACAUGCAAGUCGAACGGGCGUAGCAAUACGUCAGUGGCAGACGGGUGAGUAACGCGUGGGAACGUACCUUUUGGUUCGGAACAACCCAGGGAAACUUGGGCUAAUACCGGAUAAGCCCUUACGGGGAAAGAUUUAUCGCCGAAAGAUCGGCCCGCGUCUGAUUAGCUAGUUGGUGUGGUAACGGCGCACCAAGGCGACGAUCAGUAGCUGGUCUGAGAGGAUGAUCAGCCACAUUGGGACUGAGACACGGCCCAAACUCCUACGGGAGGCAGCAGUGGGGAAUAUUGGACAAUGGGCGCAAGCCUGAUCCAGCCAUGCCGCGUGAGUGAUGAAGGCCCUAGGGUUGUAAAGCUCUUUUGUGCGGGAAGAUAAUGACGGUACCGCAAGAAU
RNAcentral lists this ribosomal RNA (415 nucleotides) under uncultured bacterium. RNAcentral's name for it is "bacterial SSU rRNA". It matches the Rfam family "Bacterial small subunit ribosomal RNA", at positions 29 to 487 of the family's 1533-position model. The record is from RNAcentral.